GGAGGCGCGGGGGGAGGCCGCCGGGCUCGCCCAUGGGGGCGCAGGCGCGGCGGGGCGGGUGCCCGCGGCGCGGCGGGAGCGGCUCCCCGGCGCCCCUUCGGCGAGGGCCGCCCCCCGGGCGCCGCGGCGCGCGCCACCGCUCCUCUCCCCGCCGCCGCCCGGCCGCCGCCGCGCGGGCCCCCCGAAAAGGGAGAUGGAGCCGGCGCGCUCCCCCCCGCUCUCCCCCCCCCCCCCGCCUCCUCCUCCUCCACGCUCCCCGGCACAGGCGCGCCCUGCUCGCACCGCGCAUGCACGUACCCCCGCCCCCGGUGCGCGCGCGCGCACUGAGUGCUCGUGCAGGAGGCGGCGGUGACGGCCGGAGAGACGCGCGCAGACCCCCCCCCCCAGCCCCCCUCCCCAAAUUCCCCCCUCCUCCCUCCCUCCCUUCCCCCCCCCCCUCCCCGGCCCCCUCCCGCGCGGCGGCAGCGGCGGCAGCGGCAGCCCCCCGCGCUCCCCGGGAAGUGCGGUUCCGCGCGCGCGGGUGGCAGGCUGAAGGUGGCCCAUUGUAAGGACUAAUCAUCUGUCAAAUACUUAAUCAUCAUUUGUUCAGAAAAUUUCCUGCAUUGUUCAUGGAGUUUUUCAUCAGUAUGUCUGAAACCAUUAAAUAUAAUGACGACGAUCACAAAACUGUGUUCCUGAAAACAUUAAAUGAACAACGUUUGGAAGGAGAAUUUUGUGACAUAGCUAUCGUGGUUGAAGAUGUUAAAUUCAGAGCACAUAGGUGCGUGCUUGCUGCCUGCAGUACCUACUUCAAAAAGCUUUUCAAAAAACUGGAAGUUGAUAGUUCAUCAGUAAUAGAAAUAGAUUUUCUUCGUUCUGAUAUUUUUGAGGAAGUUCUCAAUUACAUGUAUACUGCAAAGAUUUCUGUUAAGAAAGAGGAUGUAAAUUUGAUGAUGUCUUCAGGCCAGAUUCUCGGUAUUCGAUUUCUGGAUAAACUGUGCUCUCAAAAACGUGAUGUAUCUAGUCCUGAAGAAAACACACAGUCCAAGAGCAAGUACUGUCUAAAAAUAAACCGUCCUAUGGGGGAAGCUAAUGAUACCCAAGAUGAUGAGGUGGAAGAAAUUGGAGAUCAUGAUGACAGUCCAUCAGAUGUGACGGUGGAAGGAACUCCCCCAAGUCAGGAAGAUGGGAAAUCACCUACCACUACCCUGAGAGUGCAAGAGGCGAUUCUGAAAGAGUUGGGAAGUGAAGAAGUUCGAAAAGUAAACUGCUAUGGCCAAGAAGUAGAGCCUAUGGAAACAACUGAAUCAAAAGACUUAGGAUCUCAGACCCCUCAGGCUUUGACAUUUAAUGAUGGCAUAAGUGAAGUGAAAGAUGAACAGACACCAGGCUGGACCACAGCAGCUGGGGAUAUGAAGUUUGAGUAUUUGCUUUAUGGUCACAGGGAACACAUUGUAUGUCAGGCUUGUGGUAAGACCUUUUCUGAUGAAGCGCGAUUGAGAAAACAUGAAAAGCUACACACUGCUGAUAGACCAUUUGUUUGUGAAAUGUGUACAAAGGGCUUUACCACCCAAGCUCAUUUGAAAGAGCACCUGAAAAUACACACAGGUUACAAGCCUUACAGUUGCGAGGUAUGUGGAAAGUCUUUUAUUCGUGCACCGGAUCUAAAAAAGCACGAAAGGGUUCACAGUAAUGAGAGGCCAUUUGCAUGCCAUAUGUGUGAUAAAGCUUUCAAGCACAAGUCCCACCUCAAAGACCAUGAAAGAAGACAUCGAGGAGAGAAACCUUUUGUCUGCAGUUCCUGCACUAAAGCAUUUGCUAAAGCAUCUGAUCUAAAAAGACAUGAGAACAAUAUGCACAGUGAAAGAAAACAAGUUACUACAGCCAAUUCCAUCCAAAGUGAAACAGAACAGUUACAGGCAGCAGCUAUGGCUGCUGAAGCAGAGCAGCAAUUAGAAACUAUAGCUUGUAGUUAAAAGCAGGAACUUUAUCAGAAGUAAUAUAAGAAAUUAAAUUGAAAAAAAAUCUCUUGUUGGUAUACGUUUAGACUGAGAAUUAUCUUUUCAAGAAAACAUAUUUUUAGAGGAAUUGAAUGUUACAUAGGAACACAUAGCAUUGCUUGGUUAGGUAUUUUAAAAUAUUUCAGAGAUGGGUAUUCUUUGAAUAUGAAAUAGUUUUGUUGUCAUUAGCAGUAUAAUGCACUAAUACCUGAUUUAAUUUGAGAAUAUGAUCAAGUUCUCUAUAAAACAGGAAUCAUCACCAGCUGAUGUUUUGUUUCAUCCAGUAUGGAAUACUGCAUACAAUGUCGACAUCGAAAUCAGUGAGUUUUGUUUGAAAACGCUGAGAUCUCAGAAAAUAACAAACACGGAAAGGAAAUACUUGGUUUUCAUAAUUGUGAAGGUGUUAUACCUACAGUUUUUGAGAAACAGAUGUUGAUUCCCUAAGCUUUGUAAUUCCCCCUUUUUUCACCUAAUGUAGGUGCUAGAGGUUGGUACAACAGAGUGUAAGGGGGGACGGUGAUCAAAAUGAAAUUGCUUCUUAUUCCAUUCCCUCAGAUAUCCUCUUAUUUUAAUCAAGGUGGCAAGUUUAAUGAAAUACUUGCUUUCCUGAAAAAACUGCAUUAUUCACAGUGGUCCUGGCUGCCAAAGCAGAAGGGUCGUGGCAUUCACCAAUCCCUUCUGUGGGGAAAAGAGUCUGCCUCGUUUGUUUCUGUGUUCACUCUUAUGCAGGCCCCUGAAGAUGGGACAGAGCCACACAGGAAAAAGGGUGCAGCAUGGAGAAGGAGGCAUGUUCCUUACUCUGACCCGGUAGAAAUUAGUUAAAGCUAAUACAGCCUGAGGCUGUAGUUUUUAUUUUGCAGCUUUCAGUUCACCUAACCUAGCACAGGUAAGGCAAAGGAGUGUGUCUGGCAGUGCAGGCGUAUUAGCUGCACUGGUGAGUGACCGGGUGUCACUGCCAGACCUCUGGAGUUGCAGAGCACAGCCACGGGCUAUCGCAUAACUGCCCGCAGUGGUCAGGCUGGGUUUUGUGUCCUAGCUGGUCAUAUCAGCUAAUAGGUCCCGUUCAAGUUUAAAAACUUAGGCCUUCUGACACACCACCUCAGCAAGAGGGAGACUUCAGUGAGUGACUUCAGUCAUAAUUGAACCAGAAUCAGUGUUCACUAAUAGUCUGUUACUUAGAGUUGCCCGUUUUUUUUUUCCAGAUGAGCUGGGGUAGAUGCUGCUAAUUUAACUGUUAACUCACAGAGUCAACAAAGUGGUCUUUGGAUUGCAGUCUGCUACGUGUAGUCAACACGGGAAGACUCAGUAACAGUGACAGGGAUGAAGGCCUAGAAUACUUUAGCUUAAAGUUUUGGAAAAGGUUUCGGAAAGGAAGUGUGGAGGUAACCUUAGGUGUACGUUAUUGUUAAUGUGUUCUAGGUUAAUCCUUUUCAUUGUGUACAUUUUGAAGGGCUGUUAGCUUAUAUGUUUUGGGGGUCUGUCUGUAAAGUUCAGGUAAAUCUGCAUCUUAAGAUGCUACUGCUCCCAGCUCUCUCCUGUCUUAUGCCAGCAGAUGCCAUGUACAGAAGCAGAUGUACAUCAGCUCCAGGCCACAGAGGUUUUCAAGCAUGAUAAACCGUAAGCUAUGAGCUCUGUUGAUUGAGGAAUGGGCAAAUUUUUAUUUUUACUGUUAAAAGAAUGGCAACUUCUUUCAGAGCAUAUGAGAGAGUGGAUGAGAUUCUGUCCAAUUAAUGGGAAUUUUGCUGUUGACUUUAUUGGGGCCAGACUAGCCUAAUAUUCCUAAGAGGUUUUCCAACAGUGGGCAAAUUAGCUAAUUGGGGUGUGUGCAGGAAUGACAGAAUGCUAUACAAACAUAGAUGGCUAAAACAUUAGAUAUGGAUUAAUUGUUUUUCUCAGAAUUAAGUAGCAAAAAUUAGCCCUAAACAUACACUUCUUCAUCUAUGGUUUGUGAAAUCGGAGUCAGUUAUGUCUUUAAUAUACAUAGGAUAGCAAAAACUUGGUUACUCUUUUUUGCUUAUACUGAAUGUCUGUCCAUGUCGCGAUGUUAGAUGACCAAGUGGCUUCAGUCGAACUCUCCAUCUAUUGGAAUUAAGUAUACGAAUAGGUGUUUGCGUGACCAGGGCUUACAUGUAUAUAAUGCAGCAACACGCUAACUGAUGUGAAAUGAGGUUCUUCUGGUGACCCAGAUGGGUGUAGAAAGUCAACACCAGUUGAGACACUAAACCAAAGUCUUAGUUGCAAAAAGAUCUAAAUACUAAGGAAGUAUAACCAUUUAGUUAAAAGGCUUUGUGCUUUAUAAGACUAAAUAACUUAGAGUGAAAAGAAAUAUUUGAAAUAAGAACUUUGCUAUUCUGUGAUCUUAACUGUGUGUUCUUAAAAAUAGUGUGGGUUUUUUGUAAAGAGAAAAAGGAACAAAGAGAACACAUUUUGAACUCUGGUAUCUGAUUAAUUUCUGAUCCAGAUUGUGUUAGCCAUGGGUAUGCUGCUGGUUAUUUGGCACAACUCAGUUUGGAAACUGUAAAAGUUCAGAAAAGAAUACCUUCCAGCCCUUCUCCAUUCCACACCGGCUCUUCUACCCACUCUUCUUAGGAAUAUUUAAACAAAUGUUAGAAAAUGAAACAAUUCACAGUGGAGUACUUGUGUUUUCAUUUUUCUGCUUUAAUCUUUUAAGAAGGUUUAGACCUGGAGAUCAGUUUUAAAGAUGGUUGUGUGAAAGAAAAUGCCUCAUGCUGACUUCAGUAGCAAAAGUUUGAGGAGUUCAGUUUCUGUUUGUUCAUGUAAGCUACAGAAUACAAAAUACUUCUCAAAGUCUUGCCCUUUAGGUACCCAAACUGGGGCUCUCUUGAAGAUUGGGCCCCAAUUUUCUAAUCUAAUUGUCUUCAUGAUUCCACUGAGUAAGGAUAUUUAAAUUAAUAGAGUUGGGUGAGAUAUAGAAUAGAAUAUCAGAUGAUACCAGAAAGUCUACCCUAAGCUUAGAAUAUAUUUUUAGGGACAGAUUAUCUAUUAUUAAGUCUUUUAUCAAUUUAGACACCUCUUUGUCUUACAGAAGAGACAAAGCAUUUCUGAAACAAAGUACAUCUACCACUAACAACAUAUGACUUUUCUAAACGUAAACAUUUACAGAUUGGUACAGAAUAGGAUAAUUCUAGCUAGAAGGGUCAAGGGUACCAAAAGCAGUGCUUACAGGAACAAACCACUGUAGUGGCAUUGCAGAUGGUUCAGACAAGAGGAUGUAGUAUGGCAGAACUCUACUCUGAGAACAAAUACUCCCCUCUACUCUAGAAAUUGGAAGUGGUGCUGAUAUGAGAGCCCGUGUAACUUCAGGCAGGAGUUCCUCUUCAAGGGAAGUUACCAGUUAACCGUGGAUGAUUUACGUAUGGUUUGUACUCAUCAUCAGCAUAACUGGGGUUUACAGAGUAGAGUUUUCAGGACUCUGUCUUUAAAGAUACUAGUUAUUCUAUUUUGCAUACUGUCAAAGCUUGUGUACAGGUUUCUGUUGUGUUUAAGGUUGCAUGGGCAAAGUUAGGGAGAAGAGUUGGAGUUGAAGCAAGAAUGUACUGUCAAAAAUGUUCUAAACAUUGCAUUUAUUAAACUUUAAUACAAAUUAAAUGCAAAUUUGUAUUUAAUGUAUUUAGGGUACACUAUAUUUAAGAACAUGUUUUCAUUGCUUACAUCAGUAGCCUCAGAUGAUAAUUUGUUGAUUUGUUUUCAUUACCUUAACCUCUAGCAUUUAGAAUCAGUGUAUAGAUUUAUUUUUCCUGGGUAUGAAAGCCACACAGUAUCCGUUCAUGUAGCUCUAUUAUGCCAGAAAUAUCUAAUUAUACUGGCUGUCUGUAUCUAAGCAGCAUUUAACACUUUUUUCUUCACACUCGGGGAUCCAUCUUCUGUGUAUCCCAAAUAAACGCAUUGUCAUUCCCCCAUUUUCUGCCACAAAAUAACUGAAGUUUUCAUGAGAUCUGCUUAGGACACAAAGGAAUGUUUUCUUAGAUAGCAGUAGGAUUUGAUCUGAUGACUUUGCAAAGAUGUAAAACGAAUACAAAGUGGCUUCUUCUGUAUGGAAAGAUAGUUUACAAUGGAAUGUUUCUCUAUGUUUAUUUCAAAACUUAAGCAUUGUUUUUUACUUGUUUCUGUUCUGCUAUAAAGCUUGUUUUUUGAGAAAAGACUAUGCUUCUAAAGACAGCAAAGUAGACUUUGUAUAGUAAAGCUUAAUUCUGCUGAAAGGGUGAGUCUUGUUCCUUUUCCCCUCCUUUACUGCUCACAAAGCUGUCUGGUGAACUUCUGUGUCAAUGCAAGGUAACUGAUGAAGGUAUUCAGGCAGGAGCAGGGAUGAGGGUAAACAGGGAAGAGGAGGGAGCAGGACCUUCUCAUUUCAGCUAUAGCGAAAUGAGUGACAGCUCGCUCUUAGAUAGUCAUCCUCUUAAAGUUUGUCUUGUCUGGACAAAUCUCAUUCCUAAGUUAUGUUCUUUUAUUCUUGUUGAAUUCUUUCUUUUUGAAGGCUUUUCAGGGUGGAGAGGUUCAAGAGAAGCUGAAAAGAAUUUAAUCUAUUUCUCCAGUGUCUCUGCCAGAGUCAUUAGCCAAGGACUUGACUGGACUGAAUUCCUUGCUGUAUGAAAGAAUUCCUGUGUGACCUAAAGGCUCUGAAUUUUGGACUGUGACUCAUUCAUCUGUCUCAGUGAAGGGACUGGCUGUCUACAGAGGUGUGGCAGUUGCAUGUUCUUGCUGCUGGCUUUCAAGGUCUCAUGUCUUUGGCUGCUGAAAAUCUGUGCAUUGCUGUUCUUCUGGAGUACUCAUGGAAAGGUGAUUACUUCCAAAUGGUUCUUCCAGAAACACUUCGAUGACUACCUGUAAAAUGUUAGCUGUACAUUCUUGUUAACAAAACUUUGAAACAUUUAACAACUUCAGGUAAAAACAGCUUCUUCCUUGAAACACGUUUACUAAGCUUCUGAACCUAUGUGACCAAAUAAUUGUUUUCAGCUCCUUUAGAAUAAAGGGUUUACUUCAGAUGUAAAACCUUGGAAUUACAGACAGCAGUGGAUGAUUUAAAGUGACAUCAGUCAACUUGAUUUCUCUAACUGUCUAAAAAUGUUAAAGUUCUUAACAGAGUAUCCUCUAAGUCAAGACUUAAAAAAAAAAAAAAAAAAAAUCUUUGAAGAUACAUACUCAAGAAUUUUUAAGUCUUCUGAUGUUAUACAGAAACUAGUAAUUCCUCACUCAAGCAGUAAGAACUUGAAUGAUACACAAGGCAGGGACUGUAUAAUUACUGAUAAAAAUGUAUAAGUCUGUUUUUGUAAGUGCUUUCAUAUUUUCUAUUUCAUACAAGUUGAUGGUACAUCUUUAAAUGAACAAGGCUAUGUAUUGUAUUUUAAUGAUAUAACCUCAUUUUUACCUCUGUGCAUCAUUCUCAAGGGCUUUUUUUGAAUAGCUGGGCAUAACUGAUGUUGUUUUCCACUGAUCUGAAAUUGAAUGAGAAUAAUUAUUAGUGCACUGUUUGUUUUGGUGGUUGUACUGCAUUAACUGCAUGGUUUUUUGAGGUGACAGUUCACUACAGAACUCUGUCCUGUGCAGUUAUUUCAGUGAUUUUUUGUGCAUUGGAACUUGUGGUCAAAUCUGAAAUUCAAAGAUUAAUUAAAUGAAAAAAAAAAAGAAGCCCAAGAUGUUUUUUUAUAAUCUUUUUUUUCCU
Aquila chrysaetos chrysaetos is the source of this 7659-nucleotide RNA transcript. It is a transcript of the gene named zinc finger and BTB domain containing 14, with no coding region annotated. The record is from RefSeq and is a predicted model, not a curated record. The transcript is spliced from 8 exons. NCBI's taxonomy places the organism in Eukaryota, Metazoa, Chordata, Aves, Accipitriformes, Accipitridae.